This 62-nucleotide transfer RNA is filed under the name Cryptopygus terranovus. Its description in RNAcentral is "tRNA-His". Lineage: Eukaryota; Metazoa; Arthropoda; Collembola; Entomobryomorpha; Isotomidae. The record is from RNAcentral.
AUUUAAGUAGUUUAAAGAAAAUUAUAGGUUGUGGUGCUAUAGAUAAGGUUACUUCUUAAAUA